Molecule: small RNA, 50 nt
Filed under: Deinococcus gobiensis I-0
Lineage: Bacteria; Thermotogati; Deinococcota; Deinococci; Deinococcales; Deinococcaceae
Description: hypothetical noncoding RNA
Source: RNAcentral
GGGCCUGCCGCACGCUUCAGUUGCCGACAUGGCCUUCCUUCCGAUCCGGC